RNAcentral lists this ribosomal RNA (203 nucleotides) under uncultured bacterium. RNAcentral describes it as "partial 16S ribosomal RNA". It matches the Rfam family "Bacterial small subunit ribosomal RNA", at positions 328 to 539 of the family's 1533-position model. The record is from RNAcentral.
ACGCUCGACACCUACGGGGAGGCAGCAGGUGGGGAAUAUUGCACAAGUGGGGGAAACCCUGAUGCAGCGACGCCGCGUGAGCGAAGAAGUAUCUCGGUAUGUAAAGCUCUAUCAGCGAGGGAAGAAGAUGACGGUACCUGACUAAGAAGCACCGGACUAAAUACGUGCCAGAGCCGCGGUAAUCUGAGGCGGGCUGGCAAGGC